GACGAACGCUGGCGGCGUGCCUAACACAUGCAAGUCGAGCGAGUGAAUCUCCUUCGGGAGUGAAGCUAGCGGCGGACGGGUGAGUAACACGUGGGCAACCUGCCUCAUAGAGGGGAAUAGCCUUUCGAAAGGAAGAUUAAUACCGCAUAAGAUUGUAGCUUCGCAUGAAGUAGCAAUUAAAGGAGCAAUCCGCUAUGAGAUGGGCCCGCGGCGCAUUAGCUAGUUGGUGAGGUAACGGCUCACCAAGGCGACGAUGCGUAGCCGACCUGAGAGGGUGAUCGGCAACAUUGGGACUGAGACACGGCCCUGACUCCUACGGGAGGCAGCAGUGGGGAAUAUUGCACAAUGGGGGAAACCUUGAUGCAGCAACGCCGCGUGAGUGAUGACGGCCUUCGGGUUGUAAAGCUCUGUCUUCAGGGACGAUAAUGACGGUACCUGAGGAGGAAGCCACGGCUAACUACGUGCCAGCCGCCGCCGUAA
Molecule: ribosomal RNA, 480 nt
Filed under: uncultured bacterium
Lineage: Bacteria
Description: partial 16S ribosomal RNA
Rfam family: Bacterial small subunit ribosomal RNA
Source: RNAcentral